AUGGGGCGCAGCAGGCGAGAAAACUUUGCAAUGUGCGAAAGCACGACAAGGUUAGUCCGAGUGAUUUCUGCUAAAGAGAUCUUUUGCUAGUUAUAAAACCACUAGUGAAUAAGGGGUGGGCAAGUUCUGGUGUCAGCCGCCGCGGUAAAACCAGCACCUCAAGUGGUCAGGAUGAUUAUUGGGCCUAAAGCAUCCGUAGCCGGCUCUGUAAGUUUUCGGUUAAAUCCAUGUGCUCAACGCAUGGGCUGCCGAAAAUACUGCAGAGAUAGGGAGUGGGAGAGGUAGACGGUACUCGGUAGGAAGGGGUAAAAUCCUUUGAUCUAUCGAUGACCACCUGUGGCGAAGGCGGUCUACCAGAACACGUUCGACGGUGAGGGAUGAAAGCUGGGGGAGCAAACCGGAUUAGAUACCCGGGUAGUCCCAGCUGUAAACGAUGCAGACUCGAUGAUGCAUUGGCAUAUAGCCAGUGCAGUGUCGCAGGGAAGCCGUUAAGUCUGCCGCCUGGGAAGUACGUACGUAAGUAUGAAACUUAAAGGAAUUGGCGGGGGAGCAC
This 553-nucleotide ribosomal RNA is filed under the name uncultured Nitrososphaerota archaeon. RNAcentral's name for it is "bacterial SSU rRNA". It matches the Rfam family "Archaeal small subunit ribosomal RNA", at positions 325 to 879 of the family's 1478-position model. The record is from RNAcentral. Lineage: Archaea; Thermoproteati; Nitrososphaerota.